AGAGUUUGAUCCUGGCUCAGGACGAACGCUGGCGGCGCGCCUAACACAUGCAAGUCGAGCGAGAACCAGGGCUUCGGCCCUGGGGACAGCGGCGAACGGGUGAGUAACACGUGGAUAACCUGCCCUCGGCACCGGAAUAGCCCGGGGAAACCCGGAUUAAUGCCGGAUGGCCCCACAUCCCUGCGGGGAACGUGGGAAAAGGUAGCUUCGGCCUCUGGCCGAGGAUGGGUCCGCGGUGGAUUAGCUUGUUGGCGGGGUAAUGGCCCACCAAGGCGACGAUCCAUAGCUGGUCUGAGAGGACGAUCAGCCACACUGGGACUGAGACACGGCCCAGACUCCUACGGGAGGCAGCAGUGGGGAAUCUUGCGCAAUGGGCGAAAGCCUGACGCAGCGACGCCGCGUGCGGGAAGAAGGCCUUCGGGUUGUAAACCUCUUUCAGGAGGGACGAAGCUACUCGGGUGAAUAGCCCAGAGGGUGACGGUACCUCCAGAAGAAGCCCCGGCUAACUACGUGCCAGCAGCCGCGGUAAUUC
RNAcentral lists this ribosomal RNA (532 nucleotides) under uncultured bacterium. RNAcentral describes it as "bacterial SSU rRNA". It matches the Rfam family "Bacterial small subunit ribosomal RNA", at positions 8 to 526 of the family's 1533-position model. The record is from RNAcentral.